GGGCAUCGGGAUUGAAGCUUGCUUCAAUUGCCGGCGACCGGCGCACGGGUGCGUAACGCGUAUGUAACCUACCUAUAACAGGGGCAUAACACUGAGAAAUUGGUACUAAUUCCCCAUAAUAUUCGGAGAGGCAUCUCUCCGGGUUGAAAACUCCGGUGGUUAUAGAUGGACAUGCGUUGUAUUAGCUGGUUGGUGAGGUAACGGCUCACCAAGGCAACGAUACAUAGGGGGACUGAGAGGUUAACCCCCCCACACUGGUACUGAGACACGGACCAGACUCCUACGGGAGGCAGCAGUGAGGAAUAUUGGUCAAUGGACGCAAGUCUGAACCAGCCAUGCCGCGUGCAGGAAGACGGCUCUAUGAGUUGUAAACUGCUUUUGUACGAGGGUAAACUCACCUACGUGUAGGUGACUGAAAGUAUCGUACGAAUAAGGAUCGGCUAACUCCGUGCCAGCAGCCGCGGUAAUACGGAGGAUUCAAGCGUUAUCCGGAUUUAUUGGGUUUAAAGGGUGCGUAGGCGGUUUGAUAAGUUAGAGGUGAAAUCCCGGGGCUUAACUCCGGAACUGCCUCUAAUACUGUUAGACUAGAGAGUAGUUGCGGUAGGCGGAAUGUAUGGUGUAGCGGUGAAAUGCUUAGAGAUCAUACAGAACACCGAUUGCGAAGGCAGCUUACCAAACUAUAUCUGACGUUGAGGCACGAAAGCGUGGGGAGCAAACAGGAUUAGAUACCCUGGUAGUCCACGCAGUAAACGAUGAUAACUCGUUGUCGGCGAUACACAGUCGGUGACUAAGCGAAAGCGAUAAGUUAUCCACCUGGGGAGUACGUUCGCAAGAAUGAAACUCAAAGGAAUUGACGGGGGCCCGCACAAGCGGAGGAACAUGUGGUUUAAUUCGAUGAUACGCGAGGAACCUUACCCGGGCUUGAAAGUUACUGACGAUUCUGGAAACAGGAUUUCCCUUCGGGGCAGGAAACUAGGUGCUGCAUGGUUGUCGUC
This 995-nucleotide ribosomal RNA is filed under the name uncultured bacterium. Its description in RNAcentral is "bacterial SSU rRNA". It matches the Rfam family "Bacterial small subunit ribosomal RNA", at positions 67 to 1056 of the family's 1533-position model. The record is from RNAcentral.